Non-coding RNA from Pelodiscus sinensis (Chinese soft-shelled turtle), 1332 nucleotides. Lineage: Eukaryota; Metazoa; Chordata; Testudines; Trionychidae. The record is from RefSeq and is a predicted model, not a curated record.
GAAUUUCAAAAUGUAUCUGACACCUAUUUGCUAAGCAGGAUCCAGCAAGAAAACUGUUAUUUAAGCAUGAUACUAUACCAUGAAGACCACAUCUUCCAUGUCACCACUAACUAAGAAAUGCAACUCAUUGGGUUCUCCUGAGGUCAUUCAAAAAGAUGGAGCUCACUCAAUGCACUCAAGUCGAAUUCCUUCACCAAUUGAAUCAGUCUGUGAACUAUAAAAGAAUCAGUGUUGUGGUUUAGAACAUCGUUAUCAGAAAUAGCGGUUUCAUUAGGUAGCACUGGUUACAAAACACCACACGUGACUGCCCUGCAAAAGACAGUUGCUACAUCUGUGUGCCUUAACCCGAGGAAGAGCUCUGUGCAACAAAGGGGAGGUCCAAUAAAAGUUUUUGCCUCACCCAUCUUAUCUUUAAUAUCCUGGAAUCAACAUUGCUACAAUCACUCUUGAAUAAGUGAAACAGAAGCAGCUAUUUAAGACUGUGAAAGCUCAGGCUAAUUAUUACUAUUUCUUUAAACAAUCCUAGAAUUGCAGCAAAGAAGUCACAAAAGCAUCCAUAAUGCCUUUUUGAGUCAAAGCAAAAAGAGUGACCAGCAUUGAAAAGUGGAACAGUGAAACCUGGGGUCUAAGAAUAUAUAAAGUACAUUCCCUAUUGUCUAUAAUAAAUGUAUAAAUUCCACUGCCCUCAAAGCGCAUAGCCCAAAUAGAUCAGGUAGAAUUAAAAGCUCAAUAUUUGGGGAUGGAAAGCAGAAAGACCUGAUUAAAAUGUUCUACAAUAGAAACAAGAUGGGACACUUCCAACUGAAUAGACAAAGCUUCAUAUAAGGCUAUCCAAUGGCUCCAACAUCCUUAAAUAUUAUCCACAAAACGAGAUUAGUGUCCCAAAGCAGAUUUUGGAGAGAAGUACUUUGGCUCACUUCUUGAGGCAUUUCCUCAGUUUUUCCUGUUUCUGUAUGUUACCAUUUCAAAUGUCUGAUUUGUGUCCAUUAAUUCUUUGUGUCACAUUGAUCCUGUGACAUUCUCUAUGAUAAAGGAUUAAUGGACACAAAUUAGAUAUUUAAAAUGGUAACACAGAGAAAACUGUUGGGAAACAUUUUAACUUGCCUGGGGCCCUCACUAAUGGAUCUAAAAGUGACUAUACUGUUACAAAGCAAUUUAAAAAAAAAGCUGGAGUGAAAAGCUGUGGAAUUUGCCUUUAUUUGCAAAUCUGACAUCAAGGUUUAAACAAAGACAUGAUCUGGAUGGGCUGCUACAUUGAACACCCUAAUGACAUCAAAAGCUAAGUAUCUGGCACUCACAGCCCACUCUAUUAGACUCAUUUAACAUGGACAC